RNAcentral lists this ribosomal RNA (253 nucleotides) under uncultured Legionellaceae bacterium. RNAcentral describes it as "partial 16S ribosomal RNA". It matches the Rfam family "Bacterial small subunit ribosomal RNA", at positions 524 to 776 of the family's 1533-position model. The record is from RNAcentral. Lineage: Bacteria; Pseudomonadati; Pseudomonadota; Gammaproteobacteria; Legionellales; Legionellaceae.
UACAGAGGGUGCGAGCGUUAAUCGGAAUUAUUGGGCGUAAAGCGCAUGUAGGUGGUUUAAUAAGUUUGAUGUGAAAUCCCCGGGCUUAACCUGGGAAUGGCGUUGAAUACUGUUAGACUAGAGUCGGACAGAGGGUAGUGGAAUUUCCGGUGUAGCGGUGAAAUGCGUAGAGAUCGGAAAGAACACCAGUGGCGAAGGCGGCUACCUGGGUCCAGACUGACACUGAGGUGCGAAAGCGUGGGGAGCAAACAGG